GUACUUCAAGCAUUGUUAGUCUGUAUGUUUGGGGAAUUCAUUAUAUUAUAUUCUAAAAUAUGCCAUCCCUAUAAAAUAGCCAAAAUACUGUACCCCAUCUUUUCAUGUACCCCCACCAAAAUUUGCUGAAACCAGGCAAUCAUUGUAUUGCUCUGUAACCAGUGAACAUAAUGACACCUGAAAAAAAUAAUAUAACAGUGAAACAUAGUUAAAUGGUAGAUUUUAUUUAAGAGAAAUGAGAGUAAGAUUAAUGAAGACAGUCAGAAAUAAAGUUACUGGAUAAAAUUUUCAAAUUUGGAUGAUUCAAUUGAUAAUUAGUCAAGUAAACUAGGAGCCUGGUUUUCACAGAUAAUGUGCACUCACUGAAGUCAAUGGGAGAUACAGGGUUUUAAGCAUCUUUGAAAGUCAGGCCCCUUAUUUAGGUGACUGAUUCUUAGGUCCCAAAUUUAAAAAAUAAUCACCAUUAAGUCUAAGGUAAACAUAGAUUUUCAAAAUCAUUUUUUUAUUAGAUUUAUUAUUCUAUAUUUUAACCCUUUUUUAGAUGAUUCUGUGUGGUGUAACUAUGCCCUGGAUGUAGAUACGACUUAAGAUACUAUUUCAAUUUUUCUAAGAUUAAUUAUCCACAAAGCAGAAAUAGAAAAUAAGAAAGAAAUUUUCUAGUAUAUGCUAAAGAAUACGUGGAUCAAUAUGCACUCAUUUUUCCAUCUCCUUGGAACCUAUUGAAGGCUCUAUUCCACUGACUUAAGAUGGCCAUGCCAGCACCAGUGAAGAAUGGAGAUGGGGGCUGGUACUCUAUUCAACCUACUUCCCCAAGCAUCUCUGGUAAAAUAUUGGUCCUAACAAAGUCAGUGACUUUAAUAGGGCAAAUUUUACCCUUAAUACCCAGCAACUAAAGCUCCCUAUCUUGACUUCUAACGCUCCCUUUCUAGGAUUUACUUAUAAGGAGAACAUGAAGCCCAUCACUCUAGCAUUGGGAAAGCUUUCACAUGCACUGAUUCUUAUCUUUUUCUGGUGGGAAAGCUGUUUCUGCCCUGUGAUUCCUCCAGUUCAGCCUGUCUUGCACAGAGUUACUAAUAUCAUUGCUAACUAUGAGGAACAUAAGCCCCAUUCAGUGAAUGGAAAUCCCGAAACAGCAGGAGUUUUAAAACCAUUUUGAAAAUUCCUCCUUUCCUCCCAAUUUUAACUGGAGGAAAGGAUGUAAAUCAUCCCAAAUUUGCUGGGUUUUUUUUUUUAAUGGAAAUUUCAAAGUCUUAAGGAUGAGUUUCAAACUUGAUUGAAUCUCUCAGAUCAUAGAGCACACAAUCAUACGGUUAGUGAGGGUCAAAAUAGACAUCUGGUUUCUCUUGGAUCUGACUGUCCUGGGCUUUACCUUGCAUCAUGACAAGCGCGGGGACAGUUGUCUACACAUGCACCUUGAAUGGCAAUUAACUCAAAUUAACUCUCCCCAAUUAUUUGGGGAAAAGUGUUAUAUCAGAUAUUUUCUAAGUCCUAAAAGUGGAACAAUGGACUUGUACGUCUGUAGGGUCCCAGAAUAAAAGGCUUUGUCCUGGGAGAAAGCCUACAUGACUUAACACUCAUUAUUGCAGUUGCAUAAAUUUGCAUGGGCAUUCCUGAUACCUCAAAUGUUCCUUGCUCUUACUAAUUAAUUCAGUAUUCAUGCACUACAGUAUGACUUCUUACAAGUAUUAUCAUUAAGACUGUAUCAUGUUGCUAUACAUACUAUUAUUUGUGUGGCCGUAGCAUGUGGCAAUCCUAAUCAGAGAUCAGAGUUCAGUUGUGCUAGGCACAGAACAAAAGAAUGGGCUCUUCCUCAAGGAGUUUACAAAUUAAGAUAUCACCAGGUGAAGGAACUAGGCUUCAGUCAAACCCUUCAGCAUGUAAAUAGCCCCACUGAAGUCACUCGAGUAAAGCUUUGCAAGAUCAGGCCCAUACCUUGUGACUCCUGUUCUGCAAACUACUAUAUAACAUUAAUGGGUGAAAAUUGUUGCAUUGUGGGGUGAUUGUUAUUUUGUGCUGUAAUGGUUGAUACUCUUGAAGUUCAGUGAGAUGCACUGGGAGACAAGGAUAGAUAUACCCUUCUCAUACACAGGGCAUUUUCUACUAGUGGCACUGCUAUGUUCUUUGGACGAAAUUGCUGUAUGUUAUCCACCAAAGGUGGCAGCAAGUUGCGAUGGUAGCUGGCACAGCAGGGGGGAGAAAAAAGCAAUAACCUCAAAAACUAAGUUAUAGGGAAAGGGGCUUUUUCCUCCCUCAUGCUUUAUAUACGGUAAGGGUAAAAUGUUCUAUUUUUUUUAAAGGAAAAAUACACCUCAUGUAAAGCAGGGUUUGCAUUAAUUAUAAACAAGGUGCAUCAUUAAUCUUUUCCAAUGUACUUUACUAGUGGAUUGUACAAUAAAUGUGUGUUUGCUAAGGUGGGUUAAUCCCUUUGUAAUUCACUGGUAUGUAUAACAGUCUAACUUGACAUGGACACAUAGUUGCCAGUACACGCUUAAUUCUCCAGACAUUCUAGCAUGCCAUGUACUGUGAGGAGAGGGAAUUACAGUCCCACAAAGCUCAGCCACUAGAUAAUAGGAAAUAAUGGCGGAUGAUUCAUGGUGGGCAGCUGAUAUUUUAACGGAAAGAUUAAUUAUUCAUUUCAACAGUGAGAAAGUAUAAUUUUAAUGAUUUCAUUAAGCAAAUAAGAAAAAUUAGCAUUGUAUUUAUUUCAGUGCUGGGGCCAGUGCACUGUAUUUAUUUUUCAGUUGUUGCCUUGGAUAAAAAGAAACACAUUGACCAAAAAAGUCAUUGAUUGGCUACUAUACAGUGUUUACAUUGCAUCCAUAGUUUCAAUUGCUCAUGUAAUUACAUGUAAUCACAUGUGAUUAUGCACUAGUCUGAAUGAAUGUGCUUUCCAUUCGCUCAGAUGGAGCUUCUUCGAGAGACACUUUCACAAAGGGGGACAGUCUGUUUAGAGCCAGAUUCUGACACCAUUCCUCUGCUCCAUGAGUAGUUUCAACUGACUUCAUUCUGUUGACUUCAGUGGUACUACUCACGGAGGAUUCCUGCAUCUGGAAAGGGGUAUUGGAAGGUGAAAAUGCAGUAAAACUUUCUUAUAAGGAAGUAGUUUUUUCACAGCAAAACAUUCCUUGGAGGAGAAAUUCACCAAAGUCAGAGCUCCAACUGAUACACUGCGAUGAGCCGAAACAAUUUGAAACUUGCAAGCUACCUACCUAUAUCCCCUCUCCGUUGGAGUUCGGUGUGACUUCCACUGUUUACUACAGGCAACAGUAUUUGGAUCUGAAUCUAGAGCUGGGGGUGCCAUUCUGGUGGGGAGUUUGACUCUGCACCUCUGUACCAUUUUCUAAGCCGGAAGUAGACUUAGGUCUUAAGCAGGGCUAGUCAGAAAAACUUCAGUAGAAUCACUUGCCAUUGGAGAACGGAGCUCUAUCACAAGUAAAACACCUCAUAAAACUGAAAUUUCAUUAAGGAGAAAAUAGAUGAAGAAAUGUUCUGAUACCGUCAACUCAUUCUGUUUCAAAGGUUGCAGUGAUGCACUUGACUUUUCCCUUUCCAAAUGACUGCUUGUUUAGAAUGUUUGAAAUAUGCUAUUGGAUUUUAUACUAGAAUGUAUGAAAAAGUAGAAACUGAAACAGAAUACUUCAUUUGACCCAGAACAGUCUUUUCCAUAGAAUAUUCUGAAAUGUUCUUAUUUCAACAUAAAGUAGUGCAGUCCUUCCCAGAAUGACAUUUCCAUUCCCCAUGCGUCUCGUCUCGCACUUUUCAUAACCGUGCUUGCCGUGAUUUCUGUGAGUAUGUUUUCUUAUGAGGUCAGGACCCUGUUUCUGUGCCUGCACUCGCACCUGCAAAUACUGUGGGCACAAGCAGCCCAACAAAAGAGAAGGGACCCUUCUGAAACAGGACAUUUAAUUAGUUGCUAAAAGAAAUGAACUUCAAAGUUGUGUUGUUGACACUAGUCCUGAAAUGAUCUGUUUAGUUUAAACAACUGUUGUCUCACUUAAAACUGUUCAAGUUCUAAUAAUGUCAUAAUGGCACUAUGAGGCAGACAUGACCUCUCUGAGCAACAUGGUGCAGGUACACUCCAAAGCUCCGCUUUCUCCAUAUGAAUGGAGUUCUUAAGAAUAGGAUGUCAGAGGUGAGAUCCAGUUUGUUCACCUGAGAAGAGAAUUUUGCUCUUGAAAAAAUACUCCAGUGUCCCAAGCUCAGGUCUAUAACUCUACAAAGCAGAAGGAGGGACUGGGUGGUAGGUGAAAAACAAAAAUAUGACUUGAAAUGUACAGAAAUAGGAAUUCAAAAAAAUUGACAAAAGACCAUAUCAUAUAAUUGAUUUUUAAGAAAAAUUCCCCAUUGAUUUUUCAGAACCCCAUUGAACAUUUCAGAACCAUUGAUUUUAAUGAGGAGUUCUGCUUCAAAAUCAAUGGCAUGAUACAGCCCAAAGAAAAUUGCUUUUUAGUAUCAAUAUUCUUUGUUCAGGUUUUCUGCAAUAUAGAAGAGGGUUGGUAAAACAAUGUGUGGUGUUCGUAGCUGUAUAUUCUCCUGUACAUUCUUUCAGUUCUUCUCUUAGUUAGAACCAAAAUGAUUGGAUGCAUUAUGCAAAUUAAAACAGCAGCAGUAUUUAUGGGGCAGAUCCUGUUCUCAUGGGCCAUAUAAUUCUGAUUUUACAUGGAAGCAAAAAGCUGUUCUCCCUUUUAACUGAGGAAACAUGGAUUGCUGGUGAUAGAUGACCCUGAAAAAGAGUCAGGGAUCUGAUCAAUCAUGCUUGGUGCUGCACUGUUCAGAGGCCAAAGCCAAGGAAGGUCCAGAUUUUGCCACUCUUACAAUGAGGUGUUAGCACCUUACUCCAUGAUGACUCCCACCUUACUCCAUGAUGAUUCCCAUGAUGACUAAGCAUGGUGGACUCUGGUUGUGUUUCAUUGGCGGGUCAGAGCUAAGGGGUAUGUAUAGAUGAGAAAAUGAAUGGUGCUUCAUGGAGAAGAGGUAGGAAUAGGGAGACCGUGGGUAAGCUCUGACUUAGUUUCUCUCUCAGGCAGACUGAUGUGGAACUCCUUCAGUUUGUCCCCUCUGGUACAUCUUUCUUUUUCCCCUACAUGAAGGAAGGCACUAAUUGCACUCUUCUGUACCCAAGAGAGGAAAUCUCAUCUGAAUGUGUUACCUUAUUAACUAGACUCUUCUUUCCUUUCCCCUGUAGCCUGUAUUCCAUCUUGUUUAUAUCUAUCUACAUGCAUUUAUGACAAUACAGGGAAAAUAUUCAUUGCUAUAACUGAAUGUCUAGAUGGAUAGAUACAGACAAAUGAAAAUACAUGCAACCUGAUAUAAAUAAUAAAUGUGACUAUAAAGCAGUUUUACUUUCAAUUAAAUGGAACCAUUGUUUUUGGUUCCAAGGAGAAGGACAAUCAGGGCCCUGAACUUAUAUGGCCCUGUCUUGGGAAGACAGAAUAUCUACCAUGGGAUUGUUUGAAAAUGGAGAUGAGUUAUGAAAAAGUUACAGGGUUCAUGGUCUGAAUGCUGCUCUAGGGCAGCAUUCACUAGGUGAAGCGGACUGUAUGCAUUCGAUCCAUAAUAGUUGACCUAGGCUUCAUACACCUAAGUAAUAAGAUCUUAGGUCUGAUGACCUCAGGACUUUUUUCUGUUCUUAUUACCAUCAUAUACUCCCUAAAAACCUCUCCUGCUUCCACUGACCUCAGUGACAAACCUCCAGUUGACUUCAGUGAGAGGAGGAGCAGGAUUAAAUGUAUAUAUGCGUAACUACAUGCAUAUUUUUUUCUUGGUGGGUAAAAGCCAUCCAAUCUAUUAUGAAGACCUGCAAGAGUAUGAGAAUAUGCAUGUAUAAACUCACAAAGAAGUGUGAGAAUGUAGUACAGGAACUGAGCUAAGAUGUUAUUUUUUAUAUUGGGUACAGGUUCAUGAAGUAGAAAAACACAAAAAUAGAAAUGUACAUAAAAAACUGAAAUGUAUGCAUAUUACUUUUUCUUACUUUAUAUAUCUUUAUUUCACAUUUUAAUUCCUAGCAUCUUUUCAGUGAAUGCUACAUUUAAGUAGGACACAUGUAAAGUCAUUCUGGCUACCAGCUUAACAUUUGUUUUAACAGGUGAGUAUACCAAAAAGCCAGGGUUGUGAAAUAUAACUAACUAUGAAUGGAGAUUGCAAAAAGAAAUUACCUAGAAAGCAGAAUUUCUGUAAAUGAAUGUGUUUUUAUUCUAAUGACCAUACAGUUCAAUGCUUGCUGGAAUUGUUUUCACUAAAAAAAACCAUAAAUAUUGGAAAAAAAAAUCUGCCAUAAUUGUAAUAAAGCAUUCAUUAAUUAAUGGCCAUAUUAGAAGUAUUAUUUAUUUUUAGAUAGUAAAUGUCCACUAAGGGCCAGGAUAUAAUCUCAGGUGAAUGGCAUGCAAAGCUGCACAUGUUAUGAAAUAUGUUGCAAGCAAAAUUGGCAUUCAAUCUUGCUCCCAUUGAAGAGUCACUGUUAGCUUCAGUGGGAUCAGGAUUGGUCCCCGGGGCAUUAUUUAAUAUGUACCAGAUGUGGCCACACAUCUGAGAUUUGAAUGUGGCCUGCAGAGUGUAUUGUACAUGUAAAUAUGUUGUCAUACUUGUGAAUGAGGAACCUGUUUCUUUUUGUAGAGGAAUCCUGCAUAUUUAUUGUGACCAUAGUUUGUGAAGAAAAAUGCAACAAUUCAUUUUGAAUCUCUCAACAAUGUUAUUGUUUGGUGUGAAUGUGCCUGCAACAUUGACUCAUGUGCCAAAACACAAUAUUGAAUGCAUUGUUUUUAAAUAAAAAGUUUUAUUGUGCAUUGGAAAUCUGUACAACU
Molecule: long non-coding RNA, 6800 nt
Organism: Gavialis gangeticus (Gharial)
Lineage: Eukaryota; Metazoa; Chordata; Crocodylia; Gavialidae
Exons: 2
Source: RefSeq, a predicted model, not a curated record